This is a long non-coding RNA of Perognathus longimembris pacificus (Pacific pocket mouse), 1125 nucleotides long. RefSeq lists it as uncharacterized. The transcript is spliced from 3 exons. The record is from RefSeq and is a predicted model, not a curated record. Lineage: Eukaryota; Metazoa; Chordata; Mammalia; Rodentia; Heteromyidae.
GCAAAAAAUAUAUAUAUACAGACACAUACAUAUAUAUGGCCCUUUUAUCAAAUUUGAAAGAGAACAGCAUCUAAAAUCAAGUCAGUUAUAAAAAUCCAUUGUACAUAUGGUAUGUGAGUAUUUGAAUUACAGUAAGCAAGCCAGAUCUAGCAGUCUGUUACAAAGAUGGGUUGAUUGAGAAUGUCACAAUCCGAUAUGUCCAGUGUUGACACAUGGAAAUCAGAAACUAGUGCUCAAUAAAAGCAUUGACAGCUAGAAUGGCACAGGUCCAACGCAGUGAAUACUGCACACAGUUGUCUUCUUUUUACAUAUGGCAUUUAGAGUAGUCACCCUGGGUCGGACUUCACUCUUUCCCAACACCAGAAAAAAAAAUUUAAAUUUGGCAACUCAUUGGGAGACAAUAUGAUUACUAAAUUUUUAUCCAUGCUGAUAGUACCUUUUUAAGUCUAUUCUUAAACUAUUUUGUAUCCUUUAAAUGAAAUAAAGAUUACUGUAGUGCUGAUUUCAUUACAGUUUCUAACGUUUUGAGUUGUAAAAUGAAUAUACAUGUUUCUCUUUCCAAGACUUGAGGGCUGGAGCCUGCAGGUCAAGUUACAGAGCCUAUCAAGCCCAAGUUCAAACUCCAGUACUAUCAAAACAAAAUACAUUUGGUGUGGUGGUAAUCGCCUGUAAUCAACACCUAUAAUCACCAGCUAUUCAGGAAUUGGAAACCAGGACCAUCGCGGUCUGAGUUUUCUACCAAAUUUAAGUCAAGAGUUUACUAAGUAUAUUAUAGACGUUUUUUUAAAAAGCAAAAUUACAGACACUGAUUAUAAGGGCUGAUUGUAUGCUGUCCUGCAUUCUCAGGAAGAUACCUGUGUCUAGAUUGGUUUGGUACAAGGAGGUUGGGAGUAGGCCAAAGAUACAGUACAGCCUCCUUUUCUCAUCGACAACGUUCUAAAUCAAAACCUACUGAUCAGCCAGUUUUAGAUUAAGUAGUACACAUAAACUAUGAUAGGUGAAGUCCAUUCUACCAGUGAAAAUUUGGGUGAUUUUACCAAUAGUUACACAAAUUUUUCUACAUUUAUUGUUGCUGGGGGCUGGGAAUAUGGCCUAGUGGCAAGAGUGCUUGCCUCGUAUACAUGA